UGAAGCACCCAGUUAAAACUGUCGGGAGC
RNAcentral lists this non-coding RNA (29 nucleotides) under Mus musculus (house mouse). Lineage: Eukaryota; Metazoa; Chordata; Mammalia; Rodentia; Muridae. The record is from RNAcentral.